Molecule: small RNA, 106 nt
Filed under: Lutibacter sp.
Lineage: Bacteria; Pseudomonadati; Bacteroidota; Flavobacteriia; Flavobacteriales; Flavobacteriaceae
Description: 6S RNA
Rfam family: 6S-Flavo RNA
Source: RNAcentral
ACUCAACACUAUUUCUUUAUAAAGGAUGAGUCAUAGUUGUGAAAGCAAGCCGCCUUGAGCGGAUCCUUGAGCAAUUAGUUAGUCCUAAUCUUGUUAUAAGGAGUUU